CCUACGGGUGGCAGCAGUGGGGGAUAUUGCACAAUGGGGGAAACCCUGAUGCAGCGACGCCGCGUGAGUGAAGGAGUAUUUCGGUAUGUAAAGCUCUAUCAGCAGGGAAGAUAAUGACGGUUCCUGACUAAGAAGCCCCGGCUAACUACGUUCCAGGAGCCGCGGUAAUACGUAGGGGGCAAGCGUUAUCCGGAUUUACUGGGUGUAAAGGGUGCGUAGGUGGCAGGGCAAGCCAGAUGUGAAAGCCCGGGGCUCAACCCCGGUACUGCAGUUGAAACUGUCCGGCUGGAGUGCAGGAGAGGCAAGCGGAAUUCCUGGUGUAGCGGUGAAAUGCGUAGAUAUUAGGAAGAACACCAGUGGCGAAGGCAGCUUACUGGCGUGUUACUGACGCUGAGGCACGAAAGCGUGGGGAGCAAACAGGAUUAGAUACCCGAGUAGUC
Molecule: ribosomal RNA, 440 nt
Filed under: uncultured bacterium
Lineage: Bacteria
Description: partial 16S ribosomal RNA
Rfam family: Bacterial small subunit ribosomal RNA
Source: RNAcentral